CAAUAAGCGGAGGAAAAGAAACCAACAGGGAUUGCCCUAGUAACGGCGAGUGAAGCGGCAACAGCUCAAAUUUGAAAUCUGGCGCAAGCCCGAGUUGUAAUUUGUAGAGGAUGCUUCUAGGUAGCGACCGGUCUAAGUUCCUUGGAACAGGACGUCAUAGAGGGUGAGAAUCCCGUAUGUGACCGGCCCGCACCUUCUACGUAGCUCCUUCGACGAGUCGAGUUGUUUGGGAAUGCAGCUCUAAAUGGGAGGUAAAUUUCUUCUAAAGCUAAAUACCGGCCAGAGACCGAUAGCGCACAAGUAGAGUGAUCGAAAGAUGAAAAGCACUUUGGAAAGAGAGUUAAAAAGCACGUGAAAUUGUUGAAAGGGAAGCGCUUACAACCAGACUUCUGGGCGGUGUUCCGCCGGUCUUUUGACCGGUCUACUCGCCGUCCCGAGGCCAACAUCAUCUGGGACCGCUGGAUAAGACCUCAGGAAUGUAGCUUCCCUCGGGAAGUGUUAUAGCCUGUGGUGAUGCAGCGCGUCUCGGGUGAGGUCCGCGCUUCGGCAAGGAUGUUGGCGUAAUGGUUGUCAGCGGCCCGUCUUGAAACACGGACCAAGGAGUCUAACAUCUAUGCGAGUGUUCGGGUGUCAAACCCCUACGCGUAAUGAAAGUGAACGGAGGUGGGAAGCGUAAGCUGCACCAUCGACCGAUCCUGAUGUCCUCGGAUGGAUUUGAGUAAGAGCAUAGCUGUUGGGACCCGAAAGAUGGUGAACUAUGCCUGAAUAGGGUGAAGCCAGAGGAAACUCUGGUGGAGGCUCGCAGCGGUUCUGACGUGCAAAUCGAUCGUCAAAUUUGGGUAUAGGGGCGAAA
Molecule: ribosomal RNA, 853 nt
Filed under: Ramularia buniadis
Lineage: Eukaryota; Fungi; Ascomycota; Dothideomycetes; Mycosphaerellales; Mycosphaerellaceae
Description: eukaryotic LSU rRNA
Rfam family: Eukaryotic large subunit ribosomal RNA
Source: RNAcentral